AACGCGAAGAACCUUACCUGGGCUCGAAAUGUAGUGGAAUCCGGCAGAAACGUCGGCGUCUAGCAAUAGACCGCUAUAUAGGUGCUGCAUGGCUGUCGUCAGCUCGUGUCGUGAGAUGUUGGGUUAAGUCCCGCAACGAGCGCAACCCCCGUCGCAUGUUGCCAGCAUUUAGUUGGGGACUCAUGCGAGACUGCCGGUGACAAACCGGAGGAAGGUGGGGAUGACGUCAAGUCCUCAUGCCCCUUAUGUCCAGGGCUACACACGUGCUACAUUGGCGCAUACAGAGGGUUGCGAUACCGCGAGGUGGAGCGAAUCCCUUAAAGUGCGUCUCGGUUCGGAUUGCAGGCUGAAAUUCGCCUGCAUGAAGGCGGAGUUGCUAGUAAUCGCGGAUCAGCACUGCCGCGGUGAAUACGUUCCCGGGCCUUGUACACACCGUAGAGAC
RNAcentral lists this ribosomal RNA (442 nucleotides) under uncultured bacterium. Its description in RNAcentral is "bacterial SSU rRNA". It matches the Rfam family "Bacterial small subunit ribosomal RNA", at positions 958 to 1400 of the family's 1533-position model. The record is from RNAcentral.